UGCGCCGCUACCAUGCAGUCGAACGAGCGAGAGAGAGCUUGCUUUCUUGAGCGAGUGGCGAACGGGUGAGUAACGCGUGAGGAACCUGCCUCAAAGAGGGGGACAACAGUUGGAAACGACUGCUAAUACCGCAUAAGCCCACGACCCGGCAUCGGGUUGAGGGAAAAGGAGCAAUCCGCUUUGAGAUGGCCUCGCGUCCGAUUAGCUGGUUGGUGAGGUAACGGCCCACCAAGGCGACGAUCGGUAGCCGGACUGAGAGGUUGAACGGCCACAUUGGGACUGAGACACGGCCCAGACUCCUACGGGAGGCAGCAGUGGGGAAUAUUGCACAAUGGGGGAAACCCUGAUGCAGCGACGCCGCGUGGAGGAAGAAGGUCUUCGGAUUGUAAACUCCUGUUGUUGAGGAAGAUAAUGACGGUACUCAACAAGGAAGUGACGGCUAACUACGUGCCAGCAGCCGCGGUAAAACGUAGGUCACAAGCGUUGUCCGGAAUUACUGGGUGUAAAGGGAGCGCAGGCGGGAAGACAAGUUGGAAGUGAAAUCUAUGGGCUCAACCCAUAAACUGCUUUCAAAACUGUUUUUCUUGAGUAGUGCAGAGGUAGGCGGAAUUCCCGGUGUAGCGGUGGAAUGCGUAGAUAUCGGGAGGAACACCAGUGGCGAAGGCGGCCUACUGGGCACCAACUGACGCUGAGGCUCGAAAGUGUGGGUAGCAAACAGGAUUAGAUACCCUGGUAGUCCACACCGUAAACGAUGAUUACUAGGUGUUGGAGGAUUGACCCCUUCAGUGCCGCAGUUAACACAAUAAGUAAUCCACCUGGGGAGUACGACCGCAAGGUUGAAACUCAAAGGAAUUGACGGGGGCCCGCACAAGCAGUGGAGUAUGUGGUUUAAUUCGACGCACC
This 903-nucleotide ribosomal RNA is filed under the name Faecalibacterium prausnitzii. RNAcentral's name for it is "bacterial SSU rRNA". It matches the Rfam family "Bacterial small subunit ribosomal RNA", at positions 43 to 960 of the family's 1533-position model. The record is from RNAcentral. Lineage: Bacteria; Bacillati; Bacillota; Clostridia; Eubacteriales; Oscillospiraceae.